This 465-nucleotide ribosomal RNA is filed under the name Vreelandella stevensii. RNAcentral's name for it is "partial 16S ribosomal RNA". It matches the Rfam family "Bacterial small subunit ribosomal RNA", at positions 338 to 795 of the family's 1533-position model. Lineage: Bacteria; Pseudomonadati; Pseudomonadota; Gammaproteobacteria; Oceanospirillales; Halomonadaceae. The record is from RNAcentral.
CCUACGGGUGGCUGCAGUGGGGAAUAUUGGACAAUGGGCGAAAGCCUGAUCCAGCCAUGCCGCGUGUGUGAAGAAGGCCUUCGGGUUGUAAAGCACUUUCAGUGGGGAAGAAAGCCUUGGGGCUAAUACCCUCGAGGAAGGACAUCACCCACAGAAGAAGCACCGGCUAACUCCGUGCCAGCAGCCGCGGUAAUACGGAGGGUGCGAGCGUUAAUCGGAAUUACUGGGCGUAAAGCGCGCGUAGGCGGUCUGAUAAGCCGGUUGUGAAAGCCCCGGGCUCAACCUGGGAACGGCAUCCGGAACGGUCAGGCUAGAGUGCAGGAGAGGAAGGUAGAAUUCCCGGUGUAGCGGUGAAAUGCGUAGAGAGCGGGAGGAAUACCAGUGGCGAAGGCGGCCUUCUGGACUGACACUGACGCUGAGGUGCGAAAGCGUGGGUAGCAAACAGGAUUAGAUACCCGGGUAGUC